This 253-nucleotide ribosomal RNA is filed under the name uncultured bacterium. RNAcentral's name for it is "partial 16S ribosomal RNA". It matches the Rfam family "Bacterial small subunit ribosomal RNA", at positions 524 to 776 of the family's 1533-position model. The record is from RNAcentral.
UACGUAGGGCGCAAGCGUUGUCCGGAAUUAUUGGGCGUAAAGAGCUCGUAGGCGGUUUGUUGCGUCGGCUGUGAAAUCCCGAGGCUCAACCUCGGGUCUGCAGUCGAUACGAGCAAACUAGAGUGUUGCAGGGGAGACUGGAAUUCCUGGUGUAGCGGUGAAAUGCGCAGAUAUCAGGAGGAACACCGGUGGCGAAGGCGGGUCUCUGGGACGGUACUGACGCUGAGACGCGAAAGCGUGGGGAGCGAACAGG